RNAcentral lists this ribosomal RNA (1540 nucleotides) under Staphylococcus aureus M35933. Its description in RNAcentral is "16S ribosomal RNA". It matches the Rfam family "Bacterial small subunit ribosomal RNA". Lineage: Bacteria; Bacillati; Bacillota; Bacilli; Caryophanales; Staphylococcaceae. The record is from RNAcentral.
AGAGUUUGAUCCUGGCUCAGGAUGAACGCUGGCGGCGUGCCUAAUACAUGCAAGUCGAGCGAACGGACGAGAAGCUUGCUUCUCUGAUGUUAGCGGCGGACGGGUGAGUAACACGUGGAUAACCUACCUAUAAGACUGGGAUAACUUCGGGAAACCGGAGCUAAUACCGGAUAAUAUUUUGAACCGCAUGGUUCAAAAGUAAAAGACGGUCUUGCUGUCACUUAUAGAUGGAUCCGCGCUGCAUUAGCUAGUUGGUAAGGUAACGGCUUACCAAGGCAACGAUGCAUAGCUGACCUGAGAGGGUGAUCGGCCACACUGGAACUGAGACACGGUCCAGACUCCUACGGGAGGCAGCAGUAGGGAAUCUUCCGCAAUGGGCGAAAGCCUGACGGAGCAACGCCGCGUGAGUGAUGAAGGUCUUCGGAUCGUAAAACUCUGUUAUUAGGGAAGAACAUAUGUGUAAGUAACUGUGCACAUCUUGACGGUACCUAAUCAGAAAGCCACGGCUAACUACGUGCCAGCAGCCGCGGUAAUACGUAGGUGGCAAGCGUUAUCCGGAAUUAUUGGGCGUAAAGCGCGCGUAGGCGGUUUUUUAAGUCUGAUGUGAAAGCCCACGGCUCAACCGUGGAGGGUCAUUGGAAACUGGAAAACUUGAGUGCAGAAGAGGAAAGUGGAAUUCCAUGUGUAGCGGUGAAAUGCGCAGAGAUAUGGAGGAACACCAGUGGCGAAGGCGACUUUCUGGUCUGUAACUGACGCUGAUGUGCGAAAGCGUGGGGAUCAAACAGGAUUAGAUACCCUGGUAGUCCACGCCGUAAACGAUGAGUGCUAAGUGUUAGGGGGUUUCCGCCCCUUAGUGCUGCAGCUAACGCAUUAAGCACUCCGCCUGGGGAGUACGACCGCAAGGUUGAAACUCAAAGGAAUUGACGGGGACCCGCACAAGCGGUGGAGCAUGUGGUUUAAUUCGAAGCAACGCGAAGAACCUUACCAAAUCUUGACAUCCUUUGACAACUCUAGAGAUAGAGCCUUCCCCUUCGGGGGACAAAGUGACAGGUGGUGCAUGGUUGUCGUCAGCUCGUGUCGUGAGAUGUUGGGUUAAGUCCCGCAACGAGCGCAACCCUUAAGCUUAGUUGCCAUCAUUAAGUUGGGCACUCUAAGUUGACUGCCGGUGACAAACCGGAGGAAGGUGGGGAUGACGUCAAAUCAUCAUGCCCCUUAUGAUUUGGGCUACACACGUGCUACAAUGGACAAUACAAAGGGCAGCGAAACCGCGAGGUCAAGCAAAUCCCAUAAAGUUGUUCUCAGUUCGGAUUGUAGUCUGCAACUCGACUACAUGAAGCUGGAAUCGCUAGUAAUCGUAGAUCAGCAUGCUACGGUGAAUACGUUCCCGGGUCUUGUACACACCGCCCGUCACACCACGAGAGUUUGUAACACCCGAAGCCGGUGGAGUAACCUUUUAGGAGCUAGCCGUCGAAGGUGGGACAAAUGAUUGGGGUGAAGUCGUAACAAGGUAGCCGUAUCGGAAGGUGCGGCUGGAUCACCU